RNAcentral lists this small RNA (169 nucleotides) under Patulibacter medicamentivorans. Its description in RNAcentral is "c-di-AMP sequence". It matches the Rfam family "c-di-AMP riboswitch aptamer (ydaO/yuaA leader)". From Rfam's summary of the family: This family represents a conserved RNA structure found upstream of the ydaO and yuaA genes in Bacillus subtilis and related genes in other bacteria. The ydaO/yuaA element is thought to act as a genetic "off" switch for the ydaO and yuaA genes in its native state. The record is from Rfam by way of RNAcentral. Lineage: Bacteria; Bacillati; Actinomycetota; Thermoleophilia; Solirubrobacterales; Patulibacteraceae.
CGGUGCCCCGAGCCGAAUCGCCGGCCUUCAACGUCGGCGAACGGGGGACCCACCGAGAGGAAGGGCCUCCACCCUUCAGCUUCGGGGCAAAUCCACCGCAUCCGGUGGAAGCGCUGCUCUUUCUGCGCUCGCCCGUCAGCUAACCCCGUAGGCCGACGAAAGAGAGCAG